Molecule: non-coding RNA, 103 nt
Organism: Acanthosepion pharaonis
Lineage: Eukaryota; Metazoa; Mollusca; Cephalopoda; Sepiida; Sepiidae
Source: the annotation of a GenBank genome assembly
UACGGCCAUGUUACGUUGAAACACCGAUUCUCGUACGAUCACCAUAGUUAAGCAAUGUCGUACCUGGUCAGUACUUAGAUGGGCGAUCGCUUGGGAAUAUCAG